AUCUUCAGUAAUAGACAAGCAUCUUCUGCCGUGACUAUGUCAAAAGACACAAUUCCUUAUUUCUUGCCACCGAAAUAUGCAAAUUUGAGAUGACAGAGUUUUUACUGUAAUUCUGAAGCACAAGUAUGGCAGAAUCAGGAUACAACACAAAUGAUUUGGUUAGAGAAGGCCAUUUUAGGUGGUUAAGACCUGCAGAAGUGUACUACAGAAUCAUGACGAUCACCAACUUGCGCAUCAACCACCUCAAAAGCCAGCUAGUGGAUCUAUGUUUCUCUUUAAUAAGAGGGUCCUCAGGUACUUCCGUAAAGAUGGUCAUAAUUGGCGUAAAAAGAAGGAUGGAAGAACUGUAGGAGAGGCACAUGAGCGGCUUAAGGUUGGAAACGCUGAAGCCCUAAAUUGUUAUUAUGCACAUGGUGAGAAGAAUUCUAAUUUCCAGAGGCGCAGCUAUUGGAUGUUGGAUCCUGCAUACGAGCACAUUGUUCUGGUUCACUACAGAGAUAUAACUAAGGGGAGGCAGGUUGCAGCAUUCAUGUCACAGUCAUCUCCAAUUUCCUCUACUUUCCCUCUGAGUCCCAGCUUAUAUUCUACUCAACAUCCAGGCUUCACUGUUCUUGGUAGUGAAUCUUAUCAACAAUACCAGGAUGAAUCUAGACCUGGAUAUGGGGAAAUUUGUUCUGAUGCAGCUAUCCAUAGUAAUGGAAUGAAUGUCUCAGACAUCACCAGGAUGAUGGAGGGGGUGAGCAACUCACCAAAGGUUGAGAUAAGUCAAGCAUUGCGAAGACUUGAGGAGCAGUUAAAUUUAAAUGAUGACAGCUCACCGGAAAUUUAUUCACUCUAUAGUGAGAUUGAGAAAGCAAAUGAUGCUGAAAAUGUUGUACAUGACAAAAGUUCACUUGUCCAGAUCCAGGACAAUUCAAAUAAUCUUCUGUUGCUGCCUCAUUCAGGUGAGAGCAGUGAAUCUCAGGAUCAGCUUUUGAACCUGGAUGCUAACAUGUGGAAAGAGAUGCUGGAUCACUGCAGGAGCUCUCCGGCUGCUCAGUCACAAGCCAAAUGUUUUGAAAAGUUGGACGAGAAUGGAAUGCUACAAACUUCGUCAGGAAGUGAAUCAAUAGAAGCAACAAAAAGCGAUAGGUGGCCUAAAAUUGGUGGAAAGGAAGCUCUGGAAUCUUCUGUGACAAAUCUUAAGCAAGUCGACGAUUUCAAGUAUCUUGCACGUGCACAAAUAAAUACUUUUGGAUCCUAUCCUGACCAGUGUACAACAAUAUUUGACCAAGAUCAGAUUGGAAUUUCUUUUGAAGCUAAUAUGAGCUUAACAAUUGUUCAGAAGCAGAAAUUUAUUAUUCAUGAUAUAUCUCCUGAUUGGGGUUAUGCAUCUGAUGCAACAAAGGUAGUUAUAGUUGGAUCGUAUCUCUGCAAUCCAUCAGAGUACACGUGGACUUGUAUGUUUGGUGAUAUUGAAGUUCCUGUUCAGAUCAUUAAGGAAGGUGCGAUCUGCUGCCAGGCGCCUCCUCACUUGCCAGGUAAAGUCGCACUUUGUGUUACUACUGGCAAUAGGACGCCAUGCAGUGAAGUAAGAGAGUUUGAAUACCGUGCCAAGCUUGAUGAUCGUGGUCAAAAUGUUGUACCUGAAGUAGGAGGAGCUUCUAAGAGUUCGGAGGAACUGUUGCUACUUGUCAGAUUUGUGCAGAUGCUUCUAUCUGACUCAUCAGUGCAGAGAGGAGAUGGUUCUGAGUCGAGCAAUGAUAUCUUGGAGAAGUCCAAAGCAAGCGAAGAUUCAUGGAGCCAAGUUAUUGAAUCUCUUUUAUUUGGCACUUCAACAUCAACCGUAACCAUUGAUUGGCUUCUACAAGAGCUUUUGAAAAACAAGUUGCAACAGUGGCUUUCAUCCAAAUUGCAAGUAAAAAAUAACGAAAUGGGCUAUUCCUUGUCCAGGAAAGAUCAAGGAAUAGUUCACAUGAUUGCUGGCCUGGGGUUUGAGUGGGCUUUACACCCAGUUUUAAAUGCUGGAGUAAGUGCUAACUUCCGUGAUAUUCGUGGCUGGACUGCCCUGCACUGGGCUGCACGCUUUGGAAGGGAAAAAAUGGUUGCAUCACUCAUAGCAUCUGGUGCAUUUCCUGGAGCUGUUACUGAUCCGUCAUCAGAAGAUCCGUUUGGUAAAACUGCUGCAUCAAUUGCUUCUAGUUGCAGUCACAAGGGAGUUGCAGGUUAUCUUUCAGAGGUGGCUCUCACCAGUCAUUUGACGUCCCUCACAUUAGAGGAAAGUGAGGUCUCAAAGGGGACUGCUGAUAUUGAAGCAGAAAAAACUAUCAGUAAUAUAACAACCAUGAGUCCUGUCACACACGAGGAUCAGCUUUCUCUAAAGGACACUUUAGAUGCAGUCCGCAAUGCAGCUCAGGCUGCUGCUCGCAUACAAUCUGCAUUCCGAGCACAUUCAUUCAGGAAGAGACGACUGAGAGAAGCUGCACAUGUUGCUACCACUUGCAGAGAUGAAUAUUGUAUCCUCUCAAACGAUGUUCUUGGGCUUUCAGCUGCCUCAAAGUUGGCAUUCCGUAAUAUGCGGGACUAUAACUCAGCAGCAUUAUCUAUUCAGAAGAAAUAUCGGGGAUGGAAAGGCCGGAAAGACUUCCUUGUAUUUCGCCAGAAAGUAGUGAAGAUACAGGCUCAUGUACGAGGAUAUCAGGUUAGAAUGGAAUACAAGGUAUGUUGGGCUGUGGGUAUUUUAGAGAAGGUAGUGCUAAGGUGGCGUCGACGGGGUGUUGGUCUUCGGGGUUUCCGACUAGAAGAUGAACCCAUCGAGGAAAGUGAGAACGAAGACAUUCUCAAGUUGUUCCGCAAACAAUCAGUGGAUGCUGCUAUUAAUGAGGCUGUCUCUAGAGUGCUAUUGAUGGUUGACUCUCCAGAAGCACGCCAGCAAUAUCGCCGCAUUCUUGAAAAGUAUCGACAAGCUAAGGUUGAGCUUGCAGGAGCGAAGAGUGAUGCAAUAUCCACUGCACACAGUGACAUCUCCAAUGCGAAAAACAACGAUGUAUAUCAUUCAUAGAGAUUCUAAUGUCAUCCCCUUCGCUUGUGGAUGAAUUUAUCAUUGUAUUACAUGCUUCAGUUCAGUUUUGAAUGUUAUAUGUUGUUAUGGGUGAAGUAUUUUAUAGGUGCUUGUUAUAAUUUGUAUUAAGGUUGGAAGUUGAAACAACCUUUUUCUUCAUUUAGUGCCUGCAGGCAGAUCAGUUUGAAAUUUAUUUCGCUAUUGUACAUAUUCUAGCAGUCUUUUCUUAAUUUAUUCAUGGAAGCUCAGAAAUAUUAUGAGUCUGUUCC
This is an RNA transcript of Solanum stenotomum, 3309 nucleotides long. It is a transcript of the gene named calmodulin-binding transcription activator 4-like, with no coding region annotated. NCBI's taxonomy places the organism in Eukaryota, Viridiplantae, Streptophyta, Magnoliopsida, Solanales, Solanaceae. The record is from RefSeq and is a predicted model, not a curated record. The transcript has 13 exons.